AUGACCUGGACAGCACUUUUCCUCAGCCUCCUGGCUCAUUGCACAGGCUCUGUAGCCUCUUAUGUGCUGACUCAGCCAUCCUCAGUAUCGGUGACCCCAGGACAGACGACCAAAAUCACCUGUGGAGGCAACAACAUUGGAAAUAAAUAUGUGCACUGGUACCAGCAGAAGACAGCACAGGCCCCUCUGCUAAUCAUCUACAGAGAUAGCAAUCGGCCCUCAGGGAUCCCUGACCGAUUCUCUGGCUCCAACUCUGGGAACACAGCCACCCUGACCAUCAGUGAGGUCCAGGCUGGAGAUGAGGCUGACUAUUACUGUCAGACAGGGGAUAGCAAUACUGCUCACAGUGACACAGGCAGACAGGGAAGUGAGACAAAACCUGCCACCAGCCUGGCACCCAAGGAUCCUCCUUGUCCUGGUCACCUUGACAGCAGAAAGUGUGCCCCAUAG
Ictidomys tridecemlineatus (thirteen-lined ground squirrel) is the source of this 450-nucleotide non-coding RNA. NCBI's taxonomy places the organism in Eukaryota, Metazoa, Chordata, Mammalia, Rodentia, Sciuridae. The record is from the annotation of a RefSeq genome assembly.